RNAcentral lists this ribosomal RNA (253 nucleotides) under uncultured bacterium. RNAcentral's name for it is "partial 16S ribosomal RNA". It matches the Rfam family "Bacterial small subunit ribosomal RNA", at positions 524 to 776 of the family's 1533-position model. The record is from RNAcentral.
UACGAAGGAUCCAAGCGUUGUCCGGAUUUACUGGGUUUAAAGGGUGCGUAGGCGGUUAAUUAAGUCAGUGGUGAAAGCCCUCAGCUUAACUGAGGAAUUGCCAUUGAAACUGAUUAGCUGGAGUAUGGUUGAGGUAACUGGAAUGUAACAUGUAGCGGUGAAAUGCUUAGAUAUGUUACAGAACACCGAUUGCGAAGGCAGGUUACUAAGCCAUAACUGACGCUGAGGCACGAAAGCGUGGGGAGCAAACAGG